CCUACGGGUGGCAGCAGUGAGGAAUAUUGGUCAAUGGGCGGGAGCCUGAACCAGCCAAGUCGCGUGAGGGAAGACGGUCCUAUGGAUUGUAAACCUCUUUAGGCGGGGAGCAAUGCCGGGCACGCGUGCCCGGAGGGAGAGUACCCGCAGAAUAAGCAUCGGCUAACUCCGUGCCAGCAGCCGCGGUCAUACGGAGGAUGCGAGCGUUAUCCGGAUUUACUAGGUGUAAAGGGAGCGUAGACGGCAAUACAAGUCGGAAGUGAAAUACCCGGGCUCAACCUGGGAACUGCUUUGGAAACUGGAUGGCUGGAGUGCUGGAGAGGCAAUCGGAAGUCCGUGUGUAGCGGGGAAAUGCGUAGAUAUACGGAGGAACACCAGUGGCGAAGGCGGAUUGCUGGACAUUAACUGACGCUGAGGCACGAAGGCCAGGGGAGCGAAAGGGAUUAGAUACCCCUGUAGUC
Molecule: ribosomal RNA, 461 nt
Filed under: uncultured bacterium
Lineage: Bacteria
Description: partial 16S ribosomal RNA
Rfam family: Bacterial small subunit ribosomal RNA
Source: RNAcentral